UGGGGAAUAUUGCGCAAUGGGCGAAAGCCUGACGCAGCGACGCCGCGUGAGGGAUGAAGGUCCCGGAUCGUAAACCUCUGUCAGGGGGGAAGAACGGCCUGUGUGCGAAUAGUGCAUGGGAUUGACGGUACCCCCAAAGGAAGCACCGGCUAACUCCGUGCCAGCAGCCGCGGUAAUACGGAGGAUCCAAGCGUUAUCCGGAUUUAUUGGGUUUAAAGGGUGCGUAGGCGGUUAGAUAAGUUAGAGGUGAAAUAUUAGGGCUUAACCCUGAAACUGCCUCUAAUACUGUUUAACUAGAGAUUAGUUGCGGUAGGCGGAAUGUAUGGUGUAGCGGUGAAAUGCUUAGAUAUUAGGAGGAACACCAGUGGCGAAGGCGGCUUACUGGACGAUCACUGACGUUGAGGCUCGAAAGCGUGGGGAGCAAACA
This 427-nucleotide ribosomal RNA is filed under the name uncultured bacterium. RNAcentral describes it as "bacterial SSU rRNA". It matches the Rfam family "Bacterial small subunit ribosomal RNA", at positions 355 to 774 of the family's 1533-position model. The record is from RNAcentral.